CUAUUUUGACGAUGACCUUUGCCAUUUUUGUCUAAUGAAGCUCCAUGAGCAACCAUAUUCCACAACAAUGCAGAGAAAGACUUGAGCUUUGUGCGUUUGGCAGUGUGGUUAUUGGUGGCAAGCAACUAUCCAGAUCCUUUGCCAUGACAUAAUUAUGUGGUUGAGAAUGAUAAUGGCGUCAGUGGUGGUUGAAGAAGGAGGAG
RNAcentral lists this long non-coding RNA (203 nucleotides) under Lupinus angustifolius (narrow-leaved blue lupine). RNAcentral's name for it is "long non-coding RNA (LANG_LNC003090)". The record is from RNAcentral. Lineage: Eukaryota; Viridiplantae; Streptophyta; Magnoliopsida; Fabales; Fabaceae.